AAAGCAGGCCAGACAAUCGCUGCUUGGUUCGCAAGGGCCAAGGGGAGGAAAGUCCGGACUCCACAGGGCAGGGUGUUGGCUAACAGCCAUCCACGGCAACGUGCGGAAUAGGGCCACAGAGACGAGUCUUCCCAUCGGGUUCGCCCGGCGGGAAGGGUGAAACGCGGUAACCUCCACCUGGAGCAAUCCCAAAUAGGCAGGCAUCGAGGCGGCCCGCUGAGCCUGCGGGUAGGGAGCUGGAGCCGGCCGGUAACGGCCGGCCUAGAGGAAUGGUUGUCACGCCCGGUCCGCCGCAAGGCGGGCCAGGCGCACAGAAUCCGGCUUAUCGGCCUGCUUUGCUU
Molecule: RNase P RNA, 341 nt
Filed under: Cupriavidus pauculus
Lineage: Bacteria; Pseudomonadati; Pseudomonadota; Betaproteobacteria; Burkholderiales; Burkholderiaceae
Description: RNase P RNA component class A
Rfam family: Bacterial RNase P class A
About the family: Ribonuclease P (RNase P) is a ubiquitous endoribonuclease, found in archaea, bacteria and eukarya as well as chloroplasts and mitochondria. Its best characterised activity is the generation of mature 5'-ends of tRNAs by cleaving the 5'-leader elements of precursor-tRNAs.
Source: RNAcentral